RNAcentral lists this ribosomal RNA (322 nucleotides) under uncultured eukaryote. RNAcentral describes it as "partial 18S ribosomal RNA". It matches the Rfam family "Eukaryotic small subunit ribosomal RNA", at positions 1470 to 1796 of the family's 1831-position model. The record is from RNAcentral.
CCCUUAGAUGUCCUGGGCCGCACGCGCGCUACACUGACAUGUUCAACAAGUUUCUCCUAGUUCGACAGGACUGGGAAAUCUUUGAACGCAUGUCGUGAUAGGGAUAGAUCAUUGCAAUUAUUGUUCUUGAACGAGGAAUUCCUAGUAAACGCGAGUCAUCAGCUCGCAUUGAUUACGUCCCUGCCCUUUGUACACACCGCCCGUCGCACCUACCGAUUGAAUGUUUCGGUGAAGAUUCCGGAUAGGACUGAUUUGAUUUAUUUCAUUUCUGACCUAAAAGCUAUCUAAACCUCAACAUUUAGAGGAAGGUGAAGUCGUAACA